RNAcentral lists this transfer RNA (72 nucleotides) under Cladophialophora carrionii CBS 160.54. RNAcentral's name for it is "tRNA-Sup (TCA) (tRNA-Sup-TCA-2-1)". It matches the Rfam family "tRNA". From Rfam's summary of the family: Transfer RNA (tRNA) molecules are approximately 80 nucleotides in length. Their secondary structure includes four short double-helical elements and three loops (D, anti-codon, and T loops). Lineage: Eukaryota; Fungi; Ascomycota; Eurotiomycetes; Chaetothyriales; Herpotrichiellaceae. The record is from RNAcentral.
GCCCGCUUGGCCCAGGGGUAAGGCGUCGUAUGUCAAAUGAGAAGAUCCUGUGUUCGAAUCACAGAGUGGGCA